Molecule: ribosomal RNA, 773 nt
Filed under: uncultured Neocallimastigales
Lineage: Eukaryota; Fungi; Neocallimastigomycota; Neocallimastigomycetes; Neocallimastigales
Description: partial large subunit ribosomal RNA
Rfam family: Eukaryotic large subunit ribosomal RNA
Source: RNAcentral
UAUGUGAUCGUCUCUCGCAUAUCAAUAAGCGGAGGAAAAGAAACUAACAAGGAUUCCCCUAGUAACGGCGAGUGAAGCGGGAAGAGCUCAAAUUUGAAAUCUUAAAGGGUUUCCCUUUACGAAUUGUAGUUUAAAGAAGUGUUUUCUGUUGAGGUUUUGGUAAAAGUUCUUUGGAAUAGGACAUCAUAGAGGGUGAGAAUCCCGUAUUUGACCUUUACUUUCAACUUUGUGAUACACUUUCAAAGAGUCGGAUUGUUUGGGAAUGCAGUCCAAAAUGGGUGGUAAAUUUCAUCUAAAGCUAAAUAUUGGCGAGAGACCGAUAGCGAACAAGUACCGUGAGGGAAAGAUGAAAAGAACUUUGAAAAGAGAGUUAAACAGUACGUGAAAUUGUCAAAAGGGAAGCGUUUGACACCAGUGUUGUUUUUCUGAAAAUCAAUUAAAGAACUGUUUAUGCUAAGCUGUUUAGACUUUAUCAGCUAUCUGCUUAGUUUUGAGCUUUUCUUUAAUGCACUUUUCAGUUAACAAGUCAACAUCAAUUUCUUUUGCUGUAAAAAAGCUUGAGGAAGGUGGCUUGAGAUUCGUCUUAAGUGUUUAUAGCCUCUUGCCUAUGCAGUCGGAGAGAUUGAGGUCUGCAGCGUAGAUCCUUCGGGGCUAAAUGCAUUUGUGCUAAGUUAUAGCAUUUUAUAGACAACUUGUUGACUAUGAUUUGUCUUGUAGCUUACUCGCUUAUGUUAUUUACCUACGCUUAGGAUGUUGACACACGCGCGUGCUCG